ACUACGCUGAUGAUUGAUUUCGUUGCUGGAGAUAUAUCGAUGAAGGCACAAUUUAAAGACUACAACGGUAUCUGAGU
RNAcentral lists this small nucleolar RNA (77 nucleotides) under Schizosaccharomyces osmophilus. RNAcentral describes it as "small nucleolar RNA snR79 (predicted)". The record is from RNAcentral. Lineage: Eukaryota; Fungi; Ascomycota; Schizosaccharomycetes; Schizosaccharomycetales; Schizosaccharomycetaceae.